RNAcentral lists this transfer RNA (73 nucleotides) under Hankyongella ginsenosidimutans. It matches the Rfam family "tRNA". Rfam says of the family: Transfer RNA (tRNA) molecules are approximately 80 nucleotides in length. The record is from Rfam by way of RNAcentral. RNAcentral also lists the same sequence under 1 other name. Lineage: Bacteria; Pseudomonadati; Pseudomonadota; Alphaproteobacteria; Sphingomonadales; Sphingomonadaceae.
GGACGCAUAGCUCAGUCGGUAGAGCAGCUGACUCUUAAUCAGCGGGUCCUAGGUUCGAGCCCUAGUGCGUCCA